AGAGUUUGAUCCUGGNUCCUNNUUANNNANGGGGCGGNGCGCCUAAUACAUGCAAGUCGANCCNUAANAGGUAGCAAUACGUUUGUAAAGCGGCGAACGGGUGAGGAAUACAUGGGUAACCUACCCUUGAGUGGGGAAUAACUAGCCGAAAGGUUAGCUAAUACCGCGUACGCUCCUUGGACUUCGGUUCAGGGAGGAAAGCGCUACCGUGGGUAGCGCGCUCUUGGAUGGGCUCAUGUCCUAUCAGCUUGUUGGUGAGGUAACGGCUCACCAAGGCUUCGACGGGUAGCUGGUCUGAGAGGACGAUCAGCCACACUGGCACUGCGACACGGGCCAGACUCCUACGGGAGGCAGCAGUAAGGAAUAUUGCGCAAUGGGCGAAAGCCUGACGCAGCGACGCCGCGUGGGGGAUGAAGGUCUUCGGAUUGUAAACCCCUUUCGGGAGGGAAGAUGGAAUGGGGUAACCCAUUCGGACGGUACCUCCAGAAGCAGCCACGGCUAACUUCGUGCCAGCAGCCGCGGUAAUACGAAGGUGGCAAGCGUUAUUCGGAUUUACUGGGCGUACAGGGAGCGUAGGCGGUUCGGUAAGCCCUCUGUGAAAUCUUCAGGCUUAACCUGGAAAAGUCGGAGGGGACUGCUGGGCUAGAGGGCGGGAGAGGAGCGCGGAAUUCCCGGUGUAGCGGUGAAAUGCGUANAGAUCGGGAGGAAGGCCGGUGGCGAAGGCGGCGCUCUGGAACGUUUCUGACGCUG
Molecule: ribosomal RNA, 750 nt
Filed under: uncultured Rhizobium sp.
Lineage: Bacteria; Pseudomonadati; Pseudomonadota; Alphaproteobacteria; Hyphomicrobiales; Rhizobiaceae
Description: bacterial SSU rRNA
Rfam family: Bacterial small subunit ribosomal RNA
Source: RNAcentral